RNAcentral lists this ribosomal RNA (395 nucleotides) under uncultured bacterium. RNAcentral's name for it is "partial 16S ribosomal RNA". It matches the Rfam family "Bacterial small subunit ribosomal RNA", at positions 523 to 918 of the family's 1533-position model. The record is from RNAcentral.
AUACGUAGGGUGCAAGCGUUAAUCGGAAUUACUGGGCGUAAAGCGUGCGCAGGCGGUUUUGUAAGACAGAGGUGAAAUCCCCGGGCUCAACCUGGGAACUGCCUUUGGGACUGCAAGGCUAGAGUACGGCAGAGGGGGAAGGAAUUUCGCGUGGAGCGGUGAAAUGCGUAGAUAUGCGGAGGAACACCGAUGGCGAAGGCAAUCCCCUGGGCCUGUACUGACGCUCAUGCACGAAAACGUGGGGAGCAAACAGGAUUAGAUACCCUGGUAGUCCACGCCCUAAACGAUGUCAACUGGUUGUUGGGUCUUCAUUGACUCAGUAACGAAGCUAACGCGUGAAGUUGACCGCCUGGGGAGUACGGCCGCAAGGUUGAAACUUAAAGGAAUUGACGGGG